Molecule: long non-coding RNA, 6162 nt
Filed under: Sus scrofa (pig)
Lineage: Eukaryota; Metazoa; Chordata; Mammalia; Artiodactyla; Suidae
Description: lncRNA (ENSSSCG00065061978.1)
Source: RNAcentral
GUCUUUUUAGGGCUACACCCACGGCAUAUGGAGGUUCCCAGGCUAGGGGGUCAAAUCACAGCUGUAGCUGCAGGCCUGCACCACAACCACAGCAAAGUCAAAUCCAAGCUGCAUCAGAGACCUACACCACAGCUCAUGGCAACGCUGGAUCCUUAACCCACUGAGCAAAGCCAAGGAUCAAACCUGCAUCCUCAUGGAUGCCAGUCAGAAGAGUCUAGUAUUUUAGGCAGAAAGGAACUUAAUACAGGAAAUGAGGUGGGACAAAGGAAGAGUGGAUUCUGCGCUAGGCUGCAGAAAACCAGCACUGGGACCAGUGAGCUCAAGUCCAAACUGCUGUGCUGCUAAUUAAGGAUCCAGGCCCUCUGCCAUCUCCAUCACAACUACCUUGGGCACCAGGAAACUAGAGACUGACAUUGCUGCAGGCAUGCCUCUGUCCUUGACCUCAUUAGCCAAUGGAGCAAGACUUAAAUUCUGCUCACGCAUAUUAAGUCACAGAACCUAAGGUCGCAUGCAAGACCCUAGUUGCAAGGAAAGCUUGGGAAAUGAAAUACUGAACUGAACUGUCCAGCACCUGCAGGACAGAAAGCAUAUUAGGAGGGGAGGCUGGAGGUUAAGUCAGGCAAUUAGCCACAUCUAUUGCAGGCCAUUGAGGUCUGUUCAAGUCUAACAUCCCACAUGUGACCAGGAUCCCGGAGCAGGAAAAGACAACCAUCUCCAGAGAAGAACGGAGAAGAGGGAAGCGCAUCUUCUGCUACCACCUCCUCUCCCACUGCCACCUCCUUGGGAAGAAGUGAUUUCCAGAUCAUGACCUGGAGUACAAAGUUGCCCAAAGACAUCUGAACCUGAGUUCUGACUGAAGUUAUGCCCUAGUCAUUUGGAGGCUUUAGCAGGAAGGGUAUAUAUCUUUUAAAAGAUAUAUUCAAAAGUUGCAAGCGAUUUAUGUCUUGUAAGAGGUAGAGGUACUGUUCUUUUAAUCUGGGAAAACUCUUGGACUAGAAAUUUAGAUAUGUAAAUAAAAAGUAGAGCCCAUAAUUGUGAAGUGGGGUGCUUGAGAUACCACAGCUGAAAGAGGGAAACAUAAGCUAUUGGACAAAAUUUUCUCAGUUUUAGGCAAAGUUGCAUCUCUGCAGACCCUGAUUAUUUAGGGAAAAAUAAAUAUUUUUUAAACAGAGAUUUCAACCCUGCUGUUACUCAUUCAUGUGAGCCUGUGGUUGCACACAUGUGUGCACACGCAUGUGUUCUCGGCCAAUGAGUUGCAUCAGAAACAGAGGCUGUUUUCCCGAGAGUCUGUUGUUCAACUCUGGGCAAAACUUUGAGGCGAGGCUGCACAGAUCCAUACAGAGAUAAGGAAAGCUUCCGCCCCCCUCCAUCGCCGCCACUUUUCCAUAAAAUUCAGCCCAGCUUUAGCACUUUAAGGACUGGUGGUGAGGAGGAGCAUCUUGGAUGGAUCUUGUCUUCCAGGGGAGGGUGGCAGGACAUCACCCAAGUAUCAAUAUUGCCACUCCUUGCAGCUUCAUGAUUAGCAGACAUCAGUCAGAUGGGGAGUAAUAGAGGGGAAAAAAUGACAGGUCCGAAUAGUGGUUUGUGAACCCGAGAUGGGUACCUCUUCCGGGACCAUCCAAAACAGGGGGGUGGGGAAAGGAAGGGCUUGAAGAGGUGGAGCAAGUGGGUGCCGGGAGCAAGUGGGUGUGGGGGGCAGGGGGGCAAAAAUAAAAGCUCCCACUGAUUGUUAGCGAUAUAAUUUUAUUUACAUCCAUGGACUGAGAAGGCUGGUGAUCUAGACGAUCUAGACUGUUUCUAGUUCUAAGAGGUGACAGGCACGAAACAUGAAGGAUGGGCACUCACACGUGGCUUUUACCAACAUGGACCUCUUCAGAGAGUGAGGCUGAGCUUGUCAGCCUCCAGGUCGUCGUGGCUGGUCUGUCUUGCUGGGCGCUUAAGACCUUGAGACCAAGUUUUGCUCUUUCGGAUGUUCUCUUUCCAUUUUACUCUCAUCCCAAACUCCCUUCCUCAAACAUAAAUAUAUAUACAUCCUUCCCAACCUUGCUUCUAUUCUAUGGUCUUUAGAAAAUUAUUUUGAAGAUUGAGGAUGAGUCGGUAAAGCAUUAGCACUGGGCUUAUGGUGAUGAUGAUGAUAAUGAUGAUGAUGAUGAUGGGAAGAAGGAAGAUGAUUUAAAGAGAUCGCAGCACCUCCAAGAAAAGCCAUAAGGGCAUGGGACAACUUUACUGAAACAUCUUCCUAUUUGCAGCCCUGCCCACAUAACUUGCAGCUCUGUGGACGAGCUCCAAAAAGACUUUCAGUCCAGCCCCUACCUCUAAAGAGUGGACACUGACUCUAAAACUGAAACUGGAAGGGAUCCUGGAAAUGACCCUUUAUUUUACAGGACUUGAGAGUUUCAGUAACUCUCCAACUCUAUCAUUUGGUUUUUCUACCACCUUCACCACACUGUUUAAGGAAACGCACUGAUGGCAGGGAUGCCAUUUUCUGCCUUCAAAUUCAGCAAAGGUUACAACCUCCUUACCUUUUCUAUCAAGCAUUAAUCUCUCAAUUUGGAAUGCAGUGGCCCCCAAAAGUGCCCUGGUUAAUUGGACCUUGGUGGGGGGAACCUUCUUUAACUCUGAAAUAGGGAGUGUGGGGAGUAUUCAGAAAAAACAAAUAUUUUAACCAGAGAGAUUUUCACUUUCAUUGGUUUUUCUAUAUAGUUCUGUCCUAUCUUACCUAAAACAAUAUAAGGUGUGAAAAGCAAAGCUUAAAACACACACACACACACACACACACACACACACACACAAACUUGGAAUAUGGUACUUGGGGUGGGGAUAUGGUACUUGGGACCUCUGAUUUUUAUUUAAUUUAUUUAUUUAUUUAUUUAUUUAUUUAUUUAUUUAUUUAUCUGUCUUUUUAGGGAUGCAUCCGUGGCACAUGGAAGUUCCUAGACUAGGGGUUGAAUCAGAGCUGUAGCUGAUUCACUGCUCAUGGCAACACCGGAUCUUUUAACCCACUGAGUGAGUCCAGGGAUCGAACCUGCAUUCUCAUGGAUACUAGUCAGGUUCAUUACCACUGAGCCACAACAGGAACUCCUGGAACCUCUGACUUUGAAGAAUAUUAUAGAACUGUUCCUUGGGUAACUCUGAAGGGAGAGUCCCAGGAAUGUGGAGUGAGUUUUAGGAAUUAAGGUCGAUGACAUUAAACUGAAGCUUCUCAGAGUUUGUGAAACUGAAUGUGACCAUAAUUGGUGAAGGGUAACAGAUUGUUUAAAGGUAGAGUUUUUUGACCCCAGCACUACUGUCACUUUGAACCAGCUAAUUCUUUGCAGCGGGGGCUGUCCUGUGCACUGCAGAAUGGUUAGUGGUAUCCCUGGCCAGGGAGGAAUAGGGGACAGAAUGUGGUUGUCAGCAUUUGGAACCUGGAAAUUAGAAAUUCCCUUUUAAUCUGACCCAUUUCUUUUAAGGAGUGGCUUCAGCAAACACCUCCUUUGAGCAUCUCUUCUCCAUUCCAAAAUACCACAUAGCACCACUUAAGGAUUAUUACUGGGGAGGGGGGGAGUACUGCAUAUAGUCAAAGUCUCUGGAUUUAAUUACCUAUGUAGAGGAAAUAUAGGGGUUAAAGGAACAUGGUAAAUGACACCAAGAGGAUACAAUCAGACAAAUUCAGAAUUUGGGAAAUUCUAAAGAGAAAAUAACCUAGUUUCUUCCACAAAUAAUUGGAAUAAAACAGCAAAAAAAAAAAAAAAUGUUGGAGGAGCUGUUAGAGAUUAAAAGAGAUUUAAGACAUUAAGAUGCAAACAAACCAAAUCUAAUUUGUAAAUCUGAUUUAGAUCUUGAUUCAAACAAAGCAACUAUAAAAAGACAUGCUGGGGGCAAUUACCUGAAAUUAAACAUGAACAAGAUACUAUAUGAUAUUAACAAAUUAUUAUUAACUUUGUUGAGAAUAAUAAUGGCCUCGUGGUUAUGUUAGUCUUAGAAGAGUCCUUAUGUUAGAGAUAGACAGGAAAAGCUCAUGGAUUAAACGAUAUGAUAUUUGAGACAGCUAAAAUAGAAUUACUUGUACAAUUAAAAAGUAAAUGGAAAGAAAAAGAAAAUGUCUAGGGAUCAGGUCUUUCUAAUUCACCAAGAACAUUCAAGAGAGAUCUCAUUUAAUCUAAAGUGUUGAGUAGAUCUCAUUUAAUCUAAAGUGUUUGACUAAAGAAACCAGAUUCCAACGAUAUGGAAAAUUGCAGAGGAAACCUUCUGGAAGGGAAGCAGAGAACCAGGCAGGAUAUGUUCUAAGACCUUGCUACUCAAAGAAUAGUUCGUUAUCCAGCAACACUGGCAUCUUGUGGGUUAUUAUAAAUGCAGAAUCUCUGGCCUACCUCAGACCCACUGAAUCAGAAACUGCCUUUUAACAAGAUCCUGAGGUGAUUCACAUGCAUGUUAAAGCCUGAGACUCACUGCUCUAAACACAUGCUCAUCUUUUAAUAAAGUUGCUUCAUUAUCCACCUCCUAGUGGAAGGCUCCUAGUGACCAAAUCUAAGAUUUCACGCGGGAUCCCCCGAGAGCAAAGAUUUGUGUAUUAAUCUGUUGCAACACCUACACUGGUUCCCUUACUAAUAGCUGAUCCACCAUCUAUUCCUGGCCCCCAGCCACACAACAUCCUCCCUGCCAUGCUUCCUAAUUGGUAAUCUGCCACCCAUGACCUUGACCAGAUGGUGUACUGCCUUGGGACCCCUGGCCUCAUCAGCUGAUUCCACACUCAGGCAGAGCCACAUUAAAAAGGGAGGCUAGUGCCCAGAGCAUCCAUAGAGAUGGAUAGGCCCCCAAAGAUUGUGGCAUGCAAUUAAAGGGAAAGAACUCUAUUAAGUAUUUUUAUGAGAGGCCAAGGCCCUGUACAGAUAAGGGUCACCAGCCCUGCUAUUAAUCUAGUCUUGCUCCAUCCUCCAAAUAGAAAAUACUUUACAUAUGAAGAGAUAUGAGGAGGGCACAGGGGCAGCUGUGGAGUGCUUCAAAUCCAUUCAGAUAAGUGGACUCUCUUCUACUCUGUCUGUUCCCAAGAUGGGAAGAAAGGUUUGUCUCCAUUAGCGUUAGCUGUCCUUUUGGAGGGAGCCAACUUGGGAGCAGCAGCACCUAUGUCUUCUUUGUGAUUAACUUUUGUUCAUGCGCAUGGCUGUUUAAUGAAUACUGAUUCUGGCGAUUGCUUUGAUUAACAGGGUCUGAGGAAUUUCACACUUAAUAUCUGAGUUGAGAUGAGGUAUGUGGCAUCCUUUCCGUCUCUAGGAACCGGCAGCCACCUCACAGCCUCUUUUAUGAAGGGUCUCUAAAGAAAUCCUUUCCAUGUUUCUGAAUGUUUGCCAUCGGGGUCACCCCACAUCUUCAAGUCCGACUCUUUCAGUUUUGCUCCAGUGGCUCCAACUGAGGUCAAGAAGACAAGGCUGAAUGGUGGGACUGUGUGGGGUAGUGGUUUAGGAUGUGGGCUCUGGAGCCACACUGCUUGGGUUUUGCUAUUUACCAGCUGUGUAACAUUGUAAUGACGUACCCCCUCUGUGCCUCAGUUACCUACAUGUAAAGUGGGGAUGAUAAUGACUUCUACCUUCCAGGAUUAGAUGUAAUAUAUGUAAAGUACUCAGAACAGUGCCUAGAACAGAGUAAGUAUUCACCUGUGUUAUUUAUGGAUUUUUACCUAUACAAAUACUAUUUUCCAACACCAAUUUUCUGACACCAACUGGGUGUCCUAAAAUUCAAUUCAAUUCUAAUACUAACCACUCAGCAUCCCACAAGAUAAGGAGCAAGGCCCUCAAGACUGCCCUUACGUCAGAUGCCAGUUGCAAGGGGCCCGUUGCCAGGAUACCUGUACGUCUUUCUGACUUGGAUACAAAUUAGGGGGUCUCCUUGACCCUCCUUCGGAUUUGAUCAUUCACUAGAAUGACUAAAGGCUACAAAACUCAGGAACUACCUAAUGCAAGAGACGCAUAGGGCAAGAAGCUCUUGGGGGCAAGCCACAGAGAUUGCUUGCCUUCUCUGGUGUCACACUCCCAGCACAUCAAUCUCUUCACCAACCAGGAAGCUCUCCUGAUUGUUGGGUUUCGUUACAGGGGUAUGCUUGAAGAAAUUAUUGGCCACCUGUUUGAACUCAAUCUCUUCCCCUUCUUUCCCAAAGAUCAGGGGUGGGGUUGGAAGUUCCAACCC